UACAGAGGGUGCGAGCGUUGUCCGGAAUCACUGGGCGUAAAGGGCGCGUAGGUGGCACGACAAGUCAGUGGUGAAAGCUCGACGCUCAACGUCGAGUCGGCCACUGAUACUGUUGGGCUGGAGCACUGUAGAGGCAGAUGGAAUUCCGGGUGUAGCGGUGGAAUGCGUAGAGAUCCGGAAGAACACCGGUGGCGAAGGCGGUCUGCUGGGCAGUUGCUGACACUGAGGAGCGAAAGCAUGGGGAGCGAACAGG
Molecule: ribosomal RNA, 253 nt
Filed under: uncultured bacterium
Lineage: Bacteria
Description: partial 16S ribosomal RNA
Rfam family: Bacterial small subunit ribosomal RNA
Source: RNAcentral